AUAAUUUAUGUUAAGUGGGGUUUAUAUUGAAACAAACUAUAUUGAACUUUUGGAUUGGAUUUUGUCAUCUUUAGCAUACUUUAUAUUAUAGUUUGUACGCAUAUCUUUCCACCAAUAACGGUUCUGAUAGACGAGAUUCGAUCCAAAUUCGUUUUCACUUGCCAUAGAAAAAUAACUUUCAAAAUAAAAUUUUAAGAAGAAAAAAUUCAUUAGGCAAUCUAUUCAACCCCCACCCCUUUUAGAUCGUUACCUCUUCUAACAUCUCCCUUUGACGCUUCUGAAUGUUUAUGUUCUUCGAUAGGGUUAUUUACCAUUCUCUCUCUCUCUGAUGCUUUUGAAUGUUUAUGUUCUUCUCUAGGGUUGUUGAUUUAUUUUUUUAAUAGAUAAAUGAUAUUAGGAUGUUGUGUGUAUUCACAUUGUCAUGUGUAUUGUUCAUGUUACAAUGUUCAUGUUUUAUUCAGAUUUUGUGAAUAUGCUUUAGGUUAUGGUGUUGGAUAUGCAUAUGCAUAUAAUCAUAUUAGGAUGUUGUGUGUCUAGUAUUAAUGUUCCAUUCAAAUUUGUCUUUUGAUAUAAAUUUCAGAAUUUGUUAUGGAUCGUAGUUGGAUGAAAGUUGAUAUAUUAGGUCCGAUGUAUGAGAAAUAAGUUAUUGAAUUCCUUGAAUUUGCCAAAAAAAAAAGUUCUUGACAAUAAUGGCAUCUUUUAUUGUUCUUGUGUUGUUUGCGGGAAUAUAAAAAAACGGUCAAAGAAAGAAAUAUUACAUCACAUAUGUUAUGAUGGAAUAUGUCAAAAUUAUACAACAUGGAUGUAGCAUGGAGAAGUGGAUAAUAAUCGAAAUACAAUGUCACAAAUGGAUGAAGAUGAUGAAGAUAUGGAUCAUCGACUAAAAGAUACGAUCUGUGAUAUUGGAGAAUCAUAUUAUAUGAAAGCCCAUAUUUAUGAUACUUUAUGUAGCAACAAAGAUGCACUUUUAUAUAAGGGAUGCACCCAUUUUAUAUGAUUGUCUGUGUUGUUAAAAUUGUUUAAUCUGAAGACAAAAGGUGGGUGGUCGGAUAAAAGUUUCACAAAAUUGCUUGAUUUGUUUAAACAAAUGCUACCAGAAGAUAAGAAUUUGUCGGAUUAUUAUUACGAGGCCAAGAAGACAUUGUGUACAAUGGGUUUUGAGUAUGUCAAAAUACAUGCAUGCCCUAAUGAUUGCAUACUAUACAUGAAGUAUUAUGAAAAUUUGGAUCAAUGUCCAAAAUGUAGUGAGUCGCACCACAAGUUGAAGAACAAUAAUGGUGAUGACAAUGACAUUGUUAGUAAGAAGUGUCCUCUUGCUAAAGUGUUAUGGUACUUUCCAAUAAUUUUAAGAUUAAAGAUACUUCUUGAUAAUGAGAAUGACACAAAGAAUAGUAUAUGGCAUCCAGAUGAAAUAAAAUAUGAUGAAAAAAUUUGCCAUGUAGUUGAUUCUUUGCAAUGGAAGAUAAUUGAUUCAUUGUUUCUGGAUUUUGGCAUUGAGCCAAGAAACCUUAGGCUUGGGCUUGCCAUAAAUGGAAUGAACCCCUUUAGUAAUCUGAGUACUAACCAUUCUUCGUGGCCUAUUCUUCUCACGAUUUACAACCUAUAUCAUUGGAUGUGCAUGUAUAUGAUGUUAAGUAUGAUUUAUGGACCAAGACAACCUGGAAACGGCAUAGAUGUUUAUAUAAGUCCAUUAAUUGAGGAUUUGAAACUUUUAUAGGAUAAAGGUGUUGACAUUGAUGAUGCAUAUUCUGGUGAAAAGUUUAAGAUGCGUGAAAUGUUAUUUUGAACAAUCAACGAAUUUCCUACAUAUGGUAAUUUGGUUGGAUAUAGUGUCAAAGGACAUAAAGCAUGUCCUAUAUGUGAAUCUGAUACCUAUUUUCAUCAGCUUGAGUUUGGAAAAAAGACAGUUUACCUUGGGCAUUGGAAAUUUCUAAAACUCAAUCAUCCUUAUCUUAAAUUAUGGAAGGUUUUUAAUGGAGAACAUGAGUUUGAGAGCGCUCAUAAACCUUUAACUAGCGAUGAAGUUUAUCAACGACAAGAACACCUUACUAUUUUCUUUGGAAAGAAUAAAGAUGGUCAUGCUGAGAGAAAUAUUUGGAAAAAGAGAUAGGUGUUUUUUGAUAUUCCAUAUUGGUCUAGACUCGAUGUAAGAUAUUGUCUUAAUGUGAUGCAUGUGGAGAAAAAUGUGUGUGAUAGUUUGAUAGGAACACUUCUAAACAUUCCAGGAAAGAGUAAAGAUAAUAAGAAUUCCCGUUUAGAUAUUGUGGAGAUGGGUAUAUGAAAAUAGUUGGCUCCAGAAGAUAAAGGAAAAAGUUCUUAUUUGCCUCCGACAUGUCACACUCUAUCUAAAAAAAGAAAAGAAAAGUUUUUGCGAGUGUUGGCAUGGUAUCAAAGUUUCCCAAGCCUAAUCAUCAAACAUCAAGAAACUUGUAUCAUUGAAAAAUAUCAAGUUAAAUGGCUUAAAAUCUCAUGAUUUCCAUGUCUUGAUGCAACAACUUCUACCAAUGGCUAUCUGUGGUAUCCUUCCAAAAAUUGUAAGAGUAACUAUAAUUAGAUUGUACUUAUUCUUCAAUGCCAUAUGUAAUAAAGUUAUUGAUUUCAAAAAAUUAGAUGAAUUAGAAGAUGAGACCACAAUAAUAUUGUGUCAAUUGGAGAUGUAUUUUCCUCCAUCAUUUUUUGACAUUAUUGUUCACUUACUUGUUCAUCUAGUCAGAUAAAUCAGAUUUUAUGGUCCAAUUUAUUUAAGGUGGAUGUAUCUUAUAGAGCGAUAUAAAAAAAUAUUUAAAUGAUAUACUAAGAAUCAUCACCGACCAAAAGCUUUGAUCGUUGAAAGGUACAUCACAAAAAAAUCUCUUGAAUUUUAUUCAAACUAUUUAUCGAAAGAAUAGUCUAUUGGAAUUCCAAAGUCUCGUCAUGCUGACAAAUUUGAAGGUAGAUGUACUCAAGGUUUAAAUAUUAAGUCAAUGGAUGAGAUGUAGUAAUUGAAGCACAUUUAUAUAUAUUGAAUAAUCUUAGUGUAGUUGGACCUUAUAUAACUAUUCACAAAACAAUUAUAAAGAAAAAGUAUCCUCGAAUGAAUGACAAGUGGUUGUUGACGUGACAUAACAAGGAAUUUAUAAGUUGGUUUAAUAAGAGGAUUUCUAAUGAUGAUGGUCCAUCCUAGACAAUUUAAUGUUUGUCAUACAUGCCAAAAUUUAUUGUGAUAACUUGAACGACAUAUGACAUUUCUAAUUUCCUUUUAUAUAAAAGCAAAAGAUGAUCAAAGUACAAGACAAAAUUGUAAGGGUAUGGUUGAGGUUGAAUCCAUGUAUUUCUCUAGUUCGCAAGAUAAGAAUCAUAUUUUAGCAACCACCGCGUUCUAUGGUGUCAUUGAGAAGAUUCUAGAGAUUGAUUAUGUUAUUUUCAACGUGCCUUUAUUUAAAUGCAAGUGGGUUCCCAAUAACAAUGGUGUACAAAUUGACGAGUUAGGAUUCACACGAAUUGACCUUGGCAAGACAACUUAUAACAACAGACUAUUUAUCAUGGCUAUUCAAGCAAAACAAGUUUUUUAUGUGACAGACUCUGCAGACUUAUCAAAGAGAUGGUCAAUUAUUCUCAAAGGAAAACAUAUUUCUCAUAGUGAUGGUGCAAGUUUUGAUAUUUCUUCCACUCCUUCUUAUGCAACACAAAUGCCUACUUUAUAUGAAGAAGUUGAUAGAGAUGAUCUACAUGUUAUUUGUAACGAUCAUCAAGAAGGCAUAUGGGAAAAUUAACAAGUAUUUUAUAUUCUUCAUUCAUAAUUUAUUGUAUGUUAUAAUUUCUAAUGAUAUUAUUUUCUAACAACUAUAUUAUUUGAAUAUAGGUAUUUAAAGUCAAGACACAAAGACAACAAGGUAAUAUUAUUUGAUAUAAUGAUGUGUACAUGGUAGGUUAUUUUGUGUCAUUUUGGCUUUGAUGUAAUAUACAAUUUUUGGUUCCUAAUGGAAUUGUGUCAUUGGUGUAAUACAAAAUUUGGUCUAAUUCAAUUCACAAUUGGGUGUAUUCUUGUUUCUGGUCUGAUACGAUUCAAAAUAUUAAGGUUAAAAAUUUGAGAAUACUGUAAAAUUGAAAAAUAUAUACUAAAUAAAUAAAUAAUAUCACAAUGGUUUUUAAUUCAACCGUUGUUAUAAGUAGAGCACUAUGCAUAAUAAUAUAAUGCAAAAAUGACGUUGUUGGGAUUUGAACCCAAAACCUAUAAAUUAUUUCACAACGGUUGUCUUCUUUAUCCAUUAUUGUAAGUAGCAUGCUACCUAACUUAUAACCACAAUCACUCGCUCGUUGUGAAAACCAACAUACAUACAAUCACACACUACCUAACAAUAGACGUGAAAUUGUCAUUGUAUGUGUUUCACAACUGUCAUUAUAUGUGUUUUCUAUAAUAAUGCUUUUUUGAUUUAUUGCAUAAGUUACAUGUAGCAUCCAUAUUAUAAAUUUUGAAAAAAAUCGCACUGCAUGUCUUCGGAUUUUAUAAACCAAACAAACAUAUUGACAUGUAUUUAGAUUUCAUAAUAUGAAUAUUAUUAGAAUGUGUGUUGAUUGGUGUAAAUUUUGUUGAUUAGUAGUUUAUGUAUACUCUCUUCAAUCUCAUAACCAACAAAAUAAAAUUCAAUGUUGUUAAAUAUAAGUAAAAUCUUCUCUCAUUAUUACAUUCAAUUUUACUAUUCCAAAUAUUACUACUCUUUAUUUUUAUUUUUAUAGCCUCGUGUUUUUCAAGUUUCCAAAAUAAAAAGUAAUGGUAAAAAUAGAAAUAGUGUAUGGCUUAAAUGUAUUUAGAUGACUUCUUUAAAGAUUUUGUAAAUUUGCUUAUAUAUAAGAUUAGAUGUAGUAUUUGUCAAUUUUCAAUAAUGGAUAAGAAUAGUAUGCUGAACUCGUGCAAGGAAUAAAACAGACUUAACCACUGUCUCUACCCGACUUGAGCAUCAAUGUAAAAUUUGAGCAAAUAUAAUUGGAUUUGCAAACUACAACCUCAUCCUCGUGAGAUUGAGGUGGAGGUUGAAGUUUUGGAGGAGAGUGAAAGUUCUAAUUAUUCUUUUUUUUUUAAUUUCAAGAUGGGAAACUGAAAUAUAUAAGUAACGACAAAAAAUUCAUAAAAUUAACUACUCCAAAUAAACAAUUUUUCAUAAAUGUCAUUCGAGACAAUAAUCUAUAUGACCUUGACACCAUAGGUUUUAGCGUAGAUGAUCAUUGCUUGGUGAAAAUUUUGGAUCUAUAUGCUUGCAGGCAUAAAGUUAAUAGUUCUAUCGACAAACCUCAAAAGUAUUUUGAUGACGACAACACUAAUAAUUCCUAAAAUCGGUGGUAACAUCUUUCCAACUCCUUUAUGAUGGUGAUUAACUUGAAGAUACCUCAAGCCUCAUCAGGACGGAGACUCAAGGUUCCAUUAAAGUUUUUAUAUGAUCAAUGUAUCUGGCGAAGGAAUUUAAAAUCUUUAGAAUUAUGAAAGAAAGAAAGUGUGAAAGCUAGCCUAAUCGUAUCUGUUUGAGUAACCAGAGUCUUCUGAAAGUAAGAGAGUAUCUCCUAAGAUACUUAGGAAACACACAGAUAUGCACACACACACACAUGCACAUACACAUACACUUUCUCUCUCUCUCACACUCUUUUUUUUUAUCUCUCUCUCUCUCUCUCACACUCUCUCUCUCUCUCUCUCUCUCUCUCUCUCUGAGAAAGAGAGAGAGAGAGAGUCUCUCUCUCUCUCUCACACACACACACACACACACUCAUUUUAACUAUCAAAAUACCUAAAAAUGUUUUCAAGCCUUAGCCAAUUGAUUAGGAAAUUGUCAACUUCAUUAAAAGCAACUUUUGAACUAUCUAAUCGAUUAUAUCCUAAAGCUAAUCGGUUAGAAGAAGCGAAAUCAAUUAUAUAAUUAAUUAUGGUAGCGUAUUAAUGAUUAGUAACGACUCUAUAUCUAAACAUUCCAAAAUGGGCUAAAAUAAUCUAUUAUUUUUUUGUAUCUAAUCGAUUGGGCUUAUGGCCUAAUUAAUUAGAUUAGUUAAUUGGCUCAUGGAUUAUUUCCUUUUUAGCCAAUUAUUCUCUCUCCUCUUUAUUUCACACAAGAAUUCCAAAUUUCUCUAGUUCUUUGGAAUUUAUCUCUCUUUGUUGUCUCUCUAAAUAUUUUCUUUCACCAAAGUUACCUUAGUGCAUUGUGAGUGAAAACUAUCUGUGAGGAAUAAUUUAUACUAGUGUCGUUCCAUUGUUAUUACUCUCAAGAGUGAGAUAUUCUUGAGAAAUCGAGUUUAGUUAUUGAGAUUAACCAUUCUAAAAAUCUUUGUUUGGUUCUAGGACUUAGCCUGGAAAAUUUUAGUUUGGUUAUUGAGAUUAGCAUGGAAAAAUCUAAUUAGCUCGUUAGUUCAACUUGUGAAAAGACUUUCUUUUUGUUAGGGAUAAGUCACUGUAAAGUCUCUAGAUCUGUUUGUAUCAAAGGUUUGUGGAUAUAACCUGUAAAAGUUCAAGUUUAUGGUCAAAAUCUUAAGAAGAUCUCAUGGGGAUAAAAGUCGGUUAACUUUCGACCAAACCUGGAUAAAUCAUUGGUGUAAUCUCUCUAACCCUUAUCUUUUAUUUUUGUCCUUUAUUAUAUUAACUUUAAUUUUUGUUGCUUUUCACUAUAAUCUUAAUAUUAACGUAAUUUGACUUUUAAGUAACAAAAACUUAAGUUUAAUUACGAAUUUUUAAUACCACAAUUCACCUCACUCUUGUGCUUGAAGUCACUUGUUCAACAAGUGACAUCAGAUCCUAACUCAUAUUAAAGACUAAUCAUCCCAUGAGGAAAAACAACUUCAAUCUAUUCACUAAAUAAACCACCAUCCUUUAAUGGAUAAGGGUAUAUUUAUUGAAAAUGUAAAAUGGAGUUUUCCAUAUAAGAGAUGGAUUGUGGUAUUUAAAAAGUUGUGAAGGAAAGUUUAUGUUCAUACACAUCAUACUGAUGGUGUUGUAGUGAACAAAACUGGAAAUAAUUGGACCAAAGAUGAUAAAGAAAAUGUGUAGUGCAGUUUGAAAGCAAAAAUGGUCAUCACCGCCACUCUUGGUCUUGAUAAAAGCAAUGUGGGACAUCCUCCAAAUUACCCAUGAAGUAACUAUUUGUGUAAAGAGGGCAAGGUUGGGAUCAUUAACCUAUUAGUAUAAAAUUUUCAAGAUGAAACCUAAAGAGAACAUAAAUUAGAUGCAAACACGAUUUACACAUAUCAUGAGCCACAUGAGAACUCUAGGAAAAACAUUUUCAAAUGAAGAACUAGUUGUGAAAACUCUUAGAUGUUUAAACUGUAACUAGAAACCUACAUUGACUAUGAUUUGAGUAUCUAGGGAUCUAGAAAUUAUAGAUACACACACAUACAUACUCUGUUUGAGAAAUUACAAGAACACGAAAUAUAAUUAAACAGGCUUGCCAUAGAUGAGGAAGGAGAAAAGAAAAGCAAAAGUCUAACACUCAAAUUCGAAUAGUCCAACUCAGAUGGUGACAUGUAUCUUAUAGUAAAGAACUUAAAAAUAUUUCUAAAUCAUGAGAAACAACAAAAAUAGGAAGAUGAGGAAAAAAUUUCAUUUAUCCCCACUUGCUACAAGUGUGGAAAGAAAGGGCACAUUAGGCCAAAUUAUCCCUUAGCUAAAAGACAAAUAAAAAGAAAUCUAAGAAACUUUAGAAAAAGGCCAAGAAAGCUUACAUAGUAUGAGAACAUAACAAUAUGAAAUCCUUAGACAAUGAAGAGGAAAACUAACAUCUAUCUCAUGGAAAAUCAUCAAGAUGAUGAGGUAACUUCUUAUUUUUCCUAUCACGAUCUUUUUUGCAUUUGUAAGAAACUAACAAAAGAACCAAGAAAACUGAAACAAAUUGUGUGUAUCGAAGGAUAUUAUUUCUUCUCUUGAACUUAAAAAUAAAAAACCUUGAGAAAGAAAAUAAAUCCUUAGAGAAAUAUAAAAUGAUACAGUUCAAAACUUUUCCACUUUAAACGAAGAGGAUGAAUCUGAUAAGUGCAACAAAGGUGAUACUUUGAAAAAUGAAAUUUGCGAUUUUCAAAAGUCAUUUGUUAAGUUCACCAAAGGAAGAGAUAACUUGAAUCUUCAGUUGGGAAAUCAAAAAGUUUCUUACAAUAAAGUUGGUCUCGGUUAUGAACCCAAAAAUGAUAGUAGAACUUUAGUAACAUUUGUAUUGCUAAAUCCACCUCUCAUUGCAAAACCUUAAAAUACAACUAUUGUAACAAAGGUCAUAUGGCAUGUUCUGUUUUAUUAAUAAAUUUACGAGAGAAAAGAAGGACAUCCUCCUUCAUACUUUUAUAAAAAAAACAUUGUGAGCGCAAAAUAAAGAUUUCACUUGCUCUAUUAAAUGUUUAUGUCUCUAGUAUAAAGACAAAUGAAAAGAAUAUUUAUACAACUAACAAUAAAGGACCCAAGAUGACAUGGGUACCUAAAUUUAAGACCUAGGCUUUUAUUGCAGGAGUGCUUUACAGUCUUGAUUUUUAAGUAACAAAAACUUGAAUUAAAUUGCGAACUUUGAAUAGUACAAUUCACCCCCCUCUUAUGCUUGAAGUUACUUUUUCAACAACAACCUUUUUUAGAGAGGUGGCACGAGGAGACAUCAACUUGUAUAUCCCGAUUAAGGAGAUGAAAGUGAAACUAGAUGAAAUCUCAUGUUUUCUGCAUCUGCUACUCAAGAGUCGUAUUCUUGACUACACCAUAGUUACAAAGCAUAAAUAUUAUCUAAUGGUUGAUCUUCUCGAAGUAGAACCACAUAACAUUGAACAAUAAUUUUAUGAGGGCCCUGGAGGUAAUGCAUGGUUCAAAUUCCUGAAGGGUUAUUUAUGAAACACCUUGAAACUACAGGGGCUAGUGACUAGGCCGAUGAAGGUGUUAAGAAAUAGUUGUACAAGCAGUACAAGACUAGGAUAUAUCUCCCUUACUUGAUGGACUCAACCAUUUUCACAAAAAAAGGCCAGUUAUAGUCACAUGAUGUAUUUAGAGCAUUUCAUGGAUCUAUACAUGAUCACUGGCUAUACUAGAGGCACUGUUACAUUGCCUUACUUGUAUAGGGAGAGCUGGAUGUUGUGACCAAGUUUAAGAUGAUACAAUUAGUAAUAUAUAUGACAUUAUUUCAAGUAAAAUAUUCAUGUAGUUAUUUAAUUAGUUGUUAAAAGUAUUUUCUUCAAUAUUAUUUACUAAUUAGUAUACAUUGUUGCAUGCAUGAAUCUAUCAAUAUUUCCCCAAUAUUGACAAACAAAGAGUAUGACAAGACGGUGCCUCAUGCUAACCUUUUCAUUUCGCUUAAAAGAUAUCCAACUAGAAAAUUGUAUUGAGAACCUAUAUUUUGACUAUUAUCACAAGAUGUGUUCCUUGACUUUUACGAUACUCAACGUGCCAUAUACCUUUUCAAUGACAUUAGAUUCUAUUUUGGUUAGGUCAAAUGUUUACUAUGUAUGGUUAGGUACUUUCCAGAGGUAAUUUUGCCCUAGUUCAAUAAGAUGCAAACUAUUAUAAGACAUCAAUUUAUCUAUGUUAUACACACGACCACUCGAGAGUACGUUGAUCAUAGGUAUCUUGAGCGGCUAGACCACAUCUUCCUAAAUAUUUAGGAUAUUGCGACAUGAAACAUAAGAUAAUAUAUUAAGAUAUCACUUCCUUACCUGAUCCCCAUACCUGAGGGAAAAUCUUUGGUACUAAUUGAGAAUGAAUCACUUGAAGAGGAGGCAAAAAAAGAGGAUCACAAUAGUCGGGUCCCUAUUUGCACAUAAACUUGAGACAUGACUUUUGAAUUAUUAUCUCAUGGGACUAUUAAGUUGGGUACUAAAGUUUACGAUGUUGUCUAGAGCAUUCAAAUGAAGGUUAAAAAUUCCUUGUGACACAAGAGAUUUAGGAGGAAUGAAAAUAAUUCUUGUGUGAAAGGUUUCAAAGCAAGGAUUCUCACAAGGAUGGCUAAUAUAAAUGUAAGUUACAUAUUUAUCACUAUCAUAUCCACACAUUUAUUUGCUUACUUAGACACGAAGUAAUACAAGAAACUUUUAAUUUAUGCUUAAUUAAGAAUUUUCUUAUGUUACUUCGUUCUAAGUAAGCAAAUAUCACAGAGGUAUUAUAUACGAAAGAAAUUUUUAAUUAAACAUAAAUUAAAAAUUUCUUGUGUUACUUCGUGUCUAGUAACUUACUUACUAGACUAUUGGUGGUUUCACUAGUGACUUGCUUCUAGUGUUUAAAAAGUAAUAAAAACUAAUUUCCACAUCAUCAUAAAAGUAUUUUGAAAAAAAGUCACUUUUGAAUACUCUCAAUUUUUAAAAGAAACUAUUCCAAAUAUUCAAAUUGGGAACACCUUUUUUUUAUAAGCAAAAUUAUACCCCUGAAUUAAAUUUGAAGUUUCUCAAUCAUCCUCUAAAAUAUGGAGGUAUACUUUAGAAGAAAACAGCAAAAACUUAAAAGGAGGUGUGGAAAUGAAUUUUAUGCAUACCGAAAGCAAGUCCCUUUUUUUUAACAGGGGCAUGAGGCCCAACAAAUACGAGUUAUUGUCAUUCAAAAAAAAUAAUGUAGAAGUGGAAAUAGUUGCAAGGAAAAGUGCUCGGGUCCCCGCCGCAGCAGGUUAACGAACGGUGGCAACUGCAACUGCAACUACAAAUCUGAUAUAAACCCUACCAUCACCAUGUCCAACGACUCUUUGUUCGCCGGCAUUCGUUUUGACAGAAAGAAAUUCGGCGCAGAUAUUGCCAGGUUUCAGGUACCAUUUCAAUCUCUCUUUAACUAAACGCCGCUGAAAGUGAAUUCAAGAAAUUCCAACCAAUUUUUUUGACCUAAAUAUUCAUCACUGCUCAAUUUUCAACCAUUAAAAUUCGGAGCAGUUUUCUCUUAUGUACCUUUGUCAAUCAUAGUAGCGUGAUAUUUUGUAUGCAUAUAGAACUUAACAACGGCUACUAGCUAAUUUGAUAAACUGUACAUCCUCAGAAAGCGUCCUUAUGGGAUACAUGGAUUUCUGAUAAGACUAUUUUUAGCAAUUUUGGAAGUCUUUAAAAGAGGACUUUGAUUAUAUAAUCAAGUUCGCCAUUCAUGAAAAUGAUGAUACUGCACGCUGUAUUCUUAAUAUGAUGUCCAUUAGAGCAGAUACUAGAGCUAAGCACAAAGAAAUCAAAUGAAGCUUGUAAUGGAAAGAAUCUUCCCUGCAUGGUUUGAAAGUUACAAGUUCACAAAGAGACGGACUUCUUUUUUGGAGGAUUUCAGAUGUUUUUUUAUGUUUUUUUUAUUUUAAUCUUUUAGUUUUUUAAAAGUAAGUCGUGCACGAGAGAGAUGGUUUCAAACAUGUUUAUGCAGCAAGGCUUGAUAAAAUGUAGUCAUUCUCUUGCUAUUGAGAAAAACCCAAGUCCCAUAUGAUAAAGAGAGUCUGAAACGCGGUUAUAAAGAGGGACAACCCCUACAUUACUAGUCGGUUUUGUUAGGAUGAGUUAAAUCCAAUAUAAAAACUUACUAUGAUAUUAGAGCCUAUCGAUUUGGGCCACCUGCCAUUUAAUCCAUACAUCAAGCUCAAUAGUUAUGGGUGUGACUUGUGAGGGAGUGUAUUGGUAAAAACCCUAGUCCCACAUAAAAAUAAAGAAAAUGUUUGAAAUGAGUUUGUAAAGAGUGACAUCUCUCACCUUAAAAAUCAGUUUGUAAGGAUGGGUUACACCCAACAUAAAAAACCUAAUGCUUACUUAUUUCAUUUCUUAAUCUAUGCGAAACACUGAUAAUAGUUAUUUCUUUAAAAAAAGAAAAAAAAUGCCGAUACUAGUUUGGCGAAGAUUCAGAGUGUGACAGAAGAUGAAGAAAUCAAGGAAACAAUAGAAGCUGUGUCUGCAAAGAAAAGGAAGCGCAAGAAAACCUCUUCUGGUAUUCUCAUUCUCAUGUUUUAACACUCUAUGUCACAUAUCACUUGUAUUAAUUGUUCUUUAUCUCACUUUUGCUUUGUUUCUAUGACAAAUAAAAGAAGCUGUUGAUGGAUUCAGUGUGUUCCGAAGUUCAACAUCGAAGUCAAGCGAAAAAGUCCAAGCCGAUGAUGAUGAGUCCAUUCGGCUGAAGAAAGAAAAAAAUAAGCAACUCGAGGUUCAGGCCCUUUAUGUUUUGUGCAAUAUAUAGAACUCUCCGUGUUCUUAAGUUUGUGCAAUAAUUUUCUGACCAUUCACUUUCAUUUUUCAUCUUUAUUUAGCGCGAUGCUAUCUUUAGGAAGAGUCAUAACAUUCAUGUGUCCGGUUACAAUGUGCCGUCCCCACUUCAAAGCUUUGAUGAGUUGAAAACAAGGUAAUUUUCUGUUAAUAUUAUUAUUCUGGAAUCUGGUUGUUACAUAUUCUGCUUAUUAUUAUUAUUAUUAUAUAUUUACAUGAACAUGGCAUUGCUGGUUCAGAAUCUUAAAAUGAACUGUUUAUUAUAGUUAUAAAUGUCCGUCCUAUUUAUUGCGGAAUCUGGCAGAACUUGGAUUCAGAGAACCAACACCAAUCCAACAGCAGGCUAUUCCAGUACUCUUACAGGUACGGAUCACAUUGGACAUUAUGUUAUUCGAAAAUCAUUGAUGUAGUUUGAUCUUGGUUUUGAUUCGUGCAAGCUUGAUAUUGUUUGCAAGAGAGAUAGUAUCACAAUAUUGUUUUUACUGAUAUUUUCCUUCACUAAUAUGAGAUAGGAUCGUGAAUGCUUUGCCUGUGCCCCAACCGGCUCUGGAAAAACCCUUGCAUUUGUGUGUCCCAUGCUCAUGAAGCUCAAGGUAUUGCUUAUAUUUUGUUGUCUUUUGCUUCCAACAUCCUGGGUCAUGGGUUCCAAUAAUCAAAUGUGUUUAUAGGCUCAUUCAAAAGGUGGCGUUCGAGCUGUUAUCAUCUGUCAUAGCCGUGAAUUAUCUGGUCAAACAUACCGAGAAUGCAAAAAGUUUGCCAAAGGGGAAAAGUUUCGUAUCAAGUUAAUGACAAAACAUCUUUUAGAAGGUUCUGAUUUUUCAAAUUUUCCUUGUGACAUACUUAUAUCCACGCCCUUUCGAUUACGCUUGGCUACCCAGAGGAAAAAGCUUGAUCUCAGCAGGUGUGUAAUAAUAAAAAAAUCUGGCUUAUUGAUUUAAUCUUAUUACUCUCUAAAAAAUAAUCAAGUAAAUCAUUACAUGUAUAUUAGUCCAUAGGGAUUACUUUAAAUUCCUGUGAUGAUGGUCUACAGCUGCUCCUCUAUGCCACUUAUGCUGUAGUUUAAAUAUCUCAUAUUGAGCUAUACUUUGCUUUGUCCUUUCUCGACCAAUUGCAUGCUAAAUCGUGAAAUUAUCUCCUGGGUUGGUACUUUCUUUUUGCUGUCAUUCUUCAUUCCUUCUGCUAAAAUACAAUAUCAUUGAGGAACAUUUUUCCUGUUAUUCUUCAUUCUAUUUGCGUUUACGUUUCUUUUUAUCUGGCCCUGUGGAAUUAAUGAAGUAGACACGAGUAACCAGUUGAUCAUUCAGUUGACUCAAACCAUAAACCCAACAUGGAAAUCUAAGUUGUUUCAAAGUUUACCACCCCAGGAGAAAGUAAUUAAGUCUAAACACAUUCCAAAGUGUUUAUUGAGAAGCAAGCAAUUGCUAAAUCCAUAUGAAUAAUCGGUUGGAGUCCAUUAUUGCUGUCAAAUAUCUGCCAUGUUGGCGCCAUGGCGGAUUGCAGUGUUUUUUUUUUGACAAUUGUCAUGGCCAAUUUGUGAAGAACGGUGGUGCCAUGACCUUUUAUGGUGUACUUUUGGCUUUCUGCCAUGGUCUUCCAUCCAUUUGCCAUCGAUAACACUGGAGCCCAUUGAACAUGAAAACAAACACACGUUCAGCAGCAUAAUUAUUUCUAAAGAUUAUGGUUUCAUAUAAGAUGGGAGAAUCAAAUAUCUGUUGUAUAUUGGUAAAACAAAUUCAGUGUUUGUUUGCCUCUCAGUUGGCUGUGAUGUUAUUUAAUGAUAAAUUUGAUUGGGUACAACAAAUUGUGGCAUGGUCCAACCCUAGUUGGUGUCGGCUGUUGUAAUGUAAAACCUUAACUACUUAAAUGGUUCAUGCAUUUUCAAAUUUUGCUUGCUGCUUUUAGCUGUAUUCAAUGUUGUGUCUGCAAAGACAGUAGUAAUAAACACUAGACAUGCAAUGUGAUUACCAAAUAGGCGUGUUGAUGUUUUUUUUCUUUCAACUCUUUUGGUUGCUGCAGAGUUGAGUAUCUUGUCCUUGAUGAGUCUGAUAAGCUAUUUGAGCCUGGAAUGUUCAAGCAGAUUGAUGCUAUUAUCAAAGCAUGCACAAAUCCCUCAAUAGUACGCUCUCUAUUCAGUGCUACUUUACCUGAUUUUAUUGAAGAUAAAGCUCGAGAACUUAUGCAUGAUGCUGUUCGCGUAAUCGUUGGCAGGAAGUAAGUUCAAUAAAAAAUUUACAAUAGAACAUUAUGCUCAUGUGCAUUACUUUAACUCUUCACCCUAUUGUAAAAGAUAACAUCUAAUACUUUUAUGGGAAUCAGGAAUAUGGCUUCUGAAACAAUUAAGCAGAGGUUGGUUUUUACUGGAAGUGAAGAAGGAAAACUUAUAGCAAUUCGGCAGAGUUUUGCAGAGGUAUGAAACUAAAAUGAAUGCUUUAGAUAAAAGGCAUUAUUAGUCAGUUUGUUUUUCUUCUGCUUCAAUAUGUUUUGUCUCACAGGUCACAACUUAACCUUGGUCAGUGUGGGUCUUAUUGAAAAGUAAUUAGAAACCUCAUUACAAUUUAUCGUUAAUAUGUAUUUCCUGUUGUUAAUCUGCCUAGUUAAGAGAAACUAUUAAUAAAGAUUUUGGAGAUUAAUGAGUUGGAUAUAAAUAUGAUAUAUGAUAAAAUAUUAUGACAUUGUUUGAUCCAUGUAGCCGACUCCAAAUAGUGAGAUAAGGCUUUGUUGUUGAUUGUAUGUUGCAUGCAUAUAGUUUAAUAUUUACCUUGUUUCAGUUUGGUGUUAAAUAAUGUAUUGUGAGUGUAAAUAUGUAACGACUUGGAACACUUGUUAUUGUAACAUCUACCUUUGAAACUAGCGGAAAGAACAUAAUAUUGCAACACUUGUUUGCUCACUCCUAAUAUAUCAGUUGCUUGCAUUUGUUGACUUUGUUUUUUUUUGCUUUCCAUAUCUCGAAGAGUCUAAAUCCUCCAGUAUUGGUCUUUGUCCAAAGCAAGGAGCGAGCCAAGGAGCUGUAUGGUGAACUUGCAUUCGACAAUAUUAGAGUUGAUGUCAUCCAUUCUGAUUUGUCUCAAGAAGAGGUAGUUCUCAAUCCCUUUGAACAAAAUAAGCUUCUUGUUGGAAAGUAUGAAGGCACUCUGAAACGUUUUUCCCUUCAGCCAAAAAAUGCAAAAAGAAAAAAGAAAACCCAUGAAUUAUAUGACCAAGAUCUCUGGCCCAUACUAUUUAUAUGGUGAAGAUGUCAAAUUAUAGUAUUCCUUGUUUGUGCAAUUGCUUUUGUACUUGACUAAUCUGCUCAUCAUUACUGAACAAGACAAACCUGUUUUUAAUAUACAAUUCUGUUUAACUUUUAAUCUCUGAUCAUCAGCAAUGGGUACUCCAUUAUGAAAGCGCAUAUUUGUUAAGUUAGCUGUAGCCUGUAACUAUGAUGUGAUUUUUUUAAUCUCUUGAAUUCUAUACAGCGAGAAAACGCAGUUGACAACUUCAGAGCUUGUAAAACAUGGGUUUUGAUUGCCACUGAUGUGGUUGCUCGAGGAAUGGAUUUCAAAGGCAUUAACUGCGUGAUCAAUUAUGAUUUCCCAGAUUCUGCAUCGGCAUAUAUCCACAGAAUUGGUUAGUGUCACGACAUGAACAUUUUUUUUUUAAUAUUUAAGAAGUGUUUAGAGGGGCUGUGAUUUGUAAUAUUCACUCACUGAGCCUUUUCUUUAUUAUAUAUUCUUUGAUACAUCAAUUUUUAAUAAUGAUUUGAAUCUACUUUUUGCUAAAUAUAAAUGUUGAUAUUUCAAUAGGUCGAUCUGGUAGAGCAGGGAGGAGUGGCGAAGCAAUUACAUUUUACACAGAAGAGGAUAUUCCAUUCUUGAAGAACGUAGCUAAUCUAAUGGCAUCCUCAGGCUGUGAAGUUCCAUCCUGGUUGACGGAGUUGCAGAAAAAGAAGUGGAGGAAGCACCGACCCAAAAGAGAUUCUAUCUCAACUAAACCUGACAAAGUUGCAAAAAAACAAGUGACAGAAAAAGCAGUGGAGGAAGCACCGGCCGAAAAAGAUUCUAUCUAGACUAAACCAGAUCUUUAAGUCUAUUACAACAACAAAUUGGAACAAGUUUUUGACCUGUGAAAUUUCUUGAAGUGUUUAUUUCUUGAAAGACCAUGCAACAGUGUUAAUUUAUAAUCCUCCCUCUCCAAAAAUGAUGAAAAGGGGGUGACUGGAUGGUGUGCGGGGAAUGUUGUCUAAUGCUUAUAUAAGUUCCAACCAUGAUAUAAUCAUAUACAUUACCUUAGUGCCAGUUGCAACACCCAUAAAUGGGAAUUUUUGGGCCUUCCUUUGUACUGAACAAGCAAUUUUGUUGAUCCUAAAAUGUCUGAUUUGAUAUACGUUGAAACAACAUUUCAUUCAAUAGAUUUUUAUUGUGUGAUGGCUUUCUACACAGUAUGUUAGUAAUUCUUCCAAUGCCAAGGCAUGCACAUAAUACAUGCAAUUCUGUAGUAUAUGUCAAUUAUUUAAACAUUUUAUGUGGGCUAAGUCUCUUAACAUAAUUUAAGGAUUUAAUUUGUUCCAUUAUUUAAUAAGAGUAAAAAGUUUUACAUUGUCGAUUCAUCACCAUCAUCCGUUUGUAUUAUUUUGUAGGUUUUUAAGAUAAAAGUCAAAUUUGGUUCAAUAUCCAACGUCUAUAAUUAAUUGAUGGUGUAAAAUUCUUUUAUACUGUCAGUGUAUUUCAAUUAAAUUCAUUUAAUAAAUGUUAUUUUUUAAUCAUUUAAAAACUAUUUCAUGACUUAUGUGAAUGACAUUAUCUCAACAUGAAAGAAGUGGAGGAAAAAAUAGUGUUCGUAAAUGUUUUUUUUUUGUAGAUUAGCGAAAACCUUUGUAUCUUUUUAGAAUAACUUCAAAAUCAUAUCCUUUUAGAUUAAUCAAUAGUGAAUCGAGAUUUUGAUUUUGAUAUGACUUGGAGUCCUUGUUGGUUUUUUAUUUCUUUAUUCGGUGAUCUAUGAUCUAUUGAUGGUGGGUGUAUUAACUUAAGAUCUAACUUGCUACUUUUUAGUUUGGAGCUCGAAUAAACAGUUUUUCCUUUGGUUCUGUCAUGUCUUAAUGUUUCAUUAGUUUUUCUUCACCUGUUUGUAUUAUAUAUUAAUAUAUAUAUAUAAUAUAUAUAUAUAUAUAUAUAUAUAUAUAUAUAUAUAUAUAUAUAUAUAUAUAUAUAUAUAUAUAUAUAUAUAUAUAUAUAUAUAUAUAUAUAUAUAUUAUAUAUAUAUAUAUAUAUAUAUAUCAAUAUUAUUUUAUUCGGCUUAUGGUACAGCUUGUGCUAUUUGAUUUUCUUUUAUAUUUUGUGUUGAGUAUGACUUAUCAUGUAGAAACUCUAAACAGGUCUUUGGACCACCUGUUUGUUGGGGUAACUUAGGAUUAAAGUUUAGGUUUAGGGGUAUUUCACUUGUAACACUGUAACCCUUAAUUCAUAAGACAAAAGUCAAUGAUAGAAUGUGAUGAAAGUAUUGAUCGAAAUUGCGUUAAAAAAGAUCAAUCAUGUUCAUUGUCUUUUACAUUCGUUUCUCUUUAAUCCUCUAUGUUGGUUGUUGUUCUAAUAGUUGGUAACUCUAGUGUGAAAUUCGAGGUAACAAGGUUUGACGAGACAAAUAAUUUUGGAUUAUGGCAAAUGAGGGUUAAGGAUCAAUUGACUCAUCAAAGUUUAUAGAAAGUGUUGCAUGAGACAAAAUCGAACGACAUGGAGGAUACCGACUGGAUAGAGAUGAAAAACAAGGUUGCGAGAUUGAUUCACAUAUGUGUUUCAGAUGAGGUGAUGUAACAUAUCCUGGAGCUGACGACGCUGGAGGAGGUUUAAGACAAACUGGAAAGUUAGUAUAUGAAAAAGACGUUGACGAACAAAUUACUCCCUAAACAUCGACUAUACAGUCCGAAGAUGCAAGAAGAACCUGAUUUGCAACAACAUGGCAAUGCCUUCAAUAACAUAAUCACCGAUUUGGUGAGGCUUUGGAUGAAAAUUAAUGAAGAUGAUAAGGCAAUUAUCUUUCUCUGCUCGUUACUAGGUUCUUAUAACCACUUGGUGACCUAUGGAAAAGAAAAUAUAAGUCUUGGUGUGAUUACUGCUAUUUUUUUUGUCUCAUUCUCAAAAGAGACAAAGUGUAGAUGAAUGAACUUAAGGCGGAGAUUUGUAUGUGAAAGGGAGUCAAAAUCGUGUGCAGAAUAAGAGUAAUGGAGGUUCUGGAAAAAAGAUGUAUAAAUCUCGGAAUCGGAAAACAACUUAGUGUUAUAGUUGUAAACAUAUUGGGCAUUGGAAGAGAGAUUGUCCAAACAGAAAGCAAGCCUCAUCUAGUUUUGCAAAUGUAGUCCAAAUAGAUGACUUUGGUAGUGAAGCAAAUAUACAGUGUAUUUCAUCCAACCAAUGCACAUAUGUGUGGAUUCUUGACUCUGGUUGUUGUUACUACAUGACACUGCAUCGAGAAUGGUUCACUACAUCCCGGUCAGGUAGUUUUUUUUUUUUAUCAAGUGAUGAUAAAGCAUGUAUUAUCACCAGAAUGGGACAAAUUAAAAUUUCCAUGGACAAUGGUGGCGUUCAACAUUGUACGAACUCAAAUGUAUCUUAGAAUUAAGGAGGAAAUUGAUUUCCCUAGGUACUCCACAGACAAAUGGUUUUUCUUACAAGUAUGAUGAAGAUAGCCACAUUAUGAAAGUUAGCAAGGGUGAAUUGAAUGUGAUGAGAGCAAAGAGGACUGCAAGUAACAUCUACAAACUAUUGGGGAAGAGGUUUGUAGGUGAUGUUGCAUUAGUUGAGUCUAAUAAUGAUGCAACCAAACUCUGGCAUAUGCGUCUGGUUCAUCUCCAUGAGUGUGGGAUGAUGGAACUUCAUAAGAGGAAUCUAUUGAAGGGUGUUUGUAGUUGUAAGAUGGAAUUGUGCAAGUAUUGUAUACUUGAGAAAUAUUGUAGUUUUUGGUUCAAGACUAUAAACAAUGAAUUUUAGACUAUGUGCAUUAAAAUGUGUGGGGUCCUACCAAAGAGGUUUCCAUGGAUGGUUCCAGGUAUUUUGUGAGUUUCACAAAUGCUUUUUCUCGCAAGGUUUGGGUGUAUUUCUUGAAAUAUAAAGAUGAAGUCUUUACCAAAUUCAAGUUGUGGAAGACAGAGGUAGAAAAUAAAAUAGGAAGAAAAAUCAAGUAUUUAUGAUCAGAUAAUCAAACAUAUUACGCUGACUUGAAAUUCAAGAGGUUAUGUGAAGAACAUUAUAUUCAAAGAUAUUUAUCAGUUUGCAAGUCACCACAACAAAACUGUAUUUAAAGAUAUGGGUUUGAAUGGUCGGGGGGAGGGGGGGGGGGGGGGGGGGGGGUGGGGGGGGGGGGGGGCUUUGUUCCCAAAAAGACCGUUACAAAAAAUUCUUUUAUAAAAUUAGAGUUUUAAAAAAUGCUUGGCAUAGAGAAAGUUUUCGUAUAAAAGAUGUGAUUGGAUUGAUGAUAUAAUACAUACUUAUUACCAACAAAAAAUAAAGAAGCAAAAGAAUAGUAGAAGAGAAUACUAAAAUGUACUCGAUGUUUUGAUUGAACUAAGUUCAUUUUACACGAGAUUUGUAAACCAAAUUUUCUCAAAUGAAUAAGGAUUAUAUAAUCACAGUUUUCACUUUAUUCAAAAGUAAGAAUGUUUAGGAACUUGAUCUAACACAUGCCUAAUUUUUAUACACAAAAUCUCUAUGCACGCGGUAAAAUCUAUCAGCAUGCGAUUUCUAAGAGAAACAAUUAACCUAAACAUACAAUACUAAACGAAAUAUAAAAGUGCGAGAGAGGUAAAGAUAGUACGCCAUAUUUAGAGUGUUUCAGCGUUUCGUCAUCGUUUGAGCUUAAUCCACUCUCCAAUGCUUCCCAUUGAAAGUUUGUUGUUGCUCCACUAUGACUUUGACAAUUUUCACACAGAGUAUUUUAAUACAAUAAUGAUUCAAAUCAUGCUGAAAAUACACGAUCUUUAGUCUAAAUCUCUCUUUGACUAUAAACAACGUCUAAAAUCGGUUCCUACAAUUUUUACUUGAUCUCGACUUCUUCCUUCCAAACUCAAGAAUUCUCCUCCAAACGUCCGUUUUGCAUCGACCUUUACUCAGUCCUACCAGUUCCUUGACUUGUCUGAAGGUGAUAGAAACUCCAACUCCGUCUGUAGUAGCUUCCACACAGCUUUAUCGAAGCAAUCUUGAAGAAAAUAAACUCGUUCUUUUUCACAGUUGGAUUGCCGAUCUCAGACAGUCAGAAUUGAGUUUUUACCUUGACUUGUUUUUCCUAGGUAAAAUUGAAACGUAAAAUCGUAGAGUUUAUCUCAUUAAAAUAAUAUUAAAUUCACACACACACACACACACAUACACACACGCGUGCGCGUGCAUGCAUGGACACGUAUACGCGCGCGUACACGCACACAUGCACAUAUGCUCACACAUGCAUGUAACAUGAGCACACACGCACACACACACACACACACACAUACACACACACACACACACACACACACACACACACACACACUUGCACACACUCGACACACACACACAUACAUACAAACACACACCCACACACAUAAGCACAUACACACACACACACAUGCAUGCUUGCACGCACGCACGCGGGCGCGCGCACACACACACACACACACACACACACAAACGCACGGUAAAUGCACACACACACACAAACGCACACGUAAAUGCACACGUGCACACACACGCACGUGCACACACACAAUGAGAUUUAUCAUGUCAGAACCAAGCAUAUUGAAUGAUGUGAGUAUGAGUGUUCAUGGAUGUGGGUCAACCCAUGAACCUGUUGACCCAAACCUAACCAACCCAUAAAUUAUCCGAACUUAUUCAUUUACGAGUAUACCCAAUCCAAUCCUUAACAACCCGUAUAAUUUUGGUUCGGGUAUCGGGUUUGAGUUUUGCAACCCGUUGACCCAACCCAUUGAUGUGACUUUAAUAAUUUCUUAUUAUUUAUUUAUUAUAUUAAAUAAAAAUAUAAAAUUAAUAUCAAACUAAUAACCAUAAUUUUUCCAUUUUUUUUAUUCUCCACCAAUAAUACUACUAGACGAAUGAGUUUACGUAAUUCUAAGAUUAAAUGUUGUUUCUUAUUUUCUUUUGUAUCAUUUGCAACUUAUGUAUUUUAUGGAAAUAAUGUGUCUUUUUGAACUUUAUAAUAUUAUCAAGUGUUAUGUCGUGUUGAUGAAUUUUAUUAGAUCUUAUAUGACAUGUUUUAUCUAAUUUGAGUGUUAUAAAUGAGUAUGAUUGUAUUGAGUCGCGUUACAUUUUUUUAAACCGACAAAAAGAGUCAUAAAAAUUAUAUUUUUUCUUUGAAACACAACCUGCGAACCCAACUCAACCCAACCCAUAAAUGAACGGGUCGAUUCAGGUCAGUUUUGACAAUGAAAUUGCGAGUUUAGCGAUGGACCCAAUUCAUUGAAAUUUGAAUGAGUUGGAUAAUGGUAUAUGUCAAAUCUGGUCUAACCCAACCCGUGUACACCCCUAGAUGUGACAUUUCAAAAGACCAAAAAGUAACUUACAUAUAGACAAGUAUUACUUGAAAAAGUUCAUACUUCAGAUUAUGUAACUGAUAUGUUGAACAAAUCCGUCAUUAGUGACAAAUUCAAGCAUUGUUUAAGCUUGUUACACGUUUCUCAGUGUUAAGUAGGAGGUGUAUCUCCAUAGUUUUCAAGAUGUGAUCGCCAUGCUAUAAGUCCGUAUAGGGGUUUGACAUUUACUAAGAUGAAGAUUUUGAGAAAGUCUCGUAUUAUGUAAAACCUUCAAACGAGUCAUAGAUCCAAUAGUUUGUUGUGGGUAUCUAUGGAAUAUAUAUAUAUAUAUAUAUAUAUAUAUAUAUAUAAUAUAUAUAAUAUAUACUAUAUAUAUAUAUAUUAUUAUAUAUAUAUAAUUUAUAUAUAUAUUAUAUAUAUAUAUAAUAUAUAUAUAUAUAUAUAUUAUUAUAUAUAUAAGUUUAGAAGUACAAAAGUAUUAUUGUAAACUGAAAAUAAUAUUAUAUAUAUGAUUUGUAUCAAUGUAACCCUACUUCAUAAGACACAAAUUAAAAGAAUUAUAAUUGUUCUAUAGUCACAAAAGUGUACACCAUUGAUCAUACCGUAUUAACAAAGAUUAGUCGUAUUUAUUGUCUUUUAUUUCCGUUUUCAUAUUGGUUGUUAUUCUUUGUUGGGGUCUUUUACCCUUUAUAUUUAAUAUAUUAUCUUGCCUUUAAAAAAUAGUAUACAAACUAAUUUGGGAAAGUAUCUAAAUCAUUAGCAACCACUAUCUAAAAAAAUUGUUUUCACAUAUUAAGAAAUUUAGGGAAGUUUAAUGAAUUUUCUCGACUUUUUUGUUGUUGUUGUAAGAUAUAAGUUAAAUUUAUUAAAUUAUCAUUUUUUAUAUUUAGAGAUUUAACUAUCCGUAUUAGAUGUUUUGAAUAAAAUGAAAUGUAUAUUAGAAAUAAUAUCAUUAAAUAGUGUAGGCCUUAAAACCUUUUUAAUAGUUGGGAAAGAUCAGAUAGCUAAACUUAAAUGCCUAUUAAUCAAAUCACAUAAAGGAGGAAAAACACCAAAUACUAUUACUAAAACAUAAAAUUGUAAAAGAAACAUUUUAGUGUUAACAAUAUUAUCAACCCUCGGGGUUAGUCAUCACAAAUUUCUUGUAGUGCUUCGUCAAAACUAUCUUGGGUUUCUAUAUAGUUUCUGUAUUAAAUUCUCAGAUGUGAAAUACAUAUUUUGAAGGUAACAAUUGUACCAUAAACAGCUGCAAAUGACAGAUGAAAUUAAUUUAACUGAAUAUAACUUUGGAUCAAACUUUUUGUUAUAAAAAGCUGUAGCUCCAAUAUUAUGAAGCACAAACAUUUGAAAUACGACGCUGCUGACACGUUAACACAAGUAAUAAUUUUUAAAAAAUGAAUAAAUUAAGCGUAAUCACAAAUAUAGGUGUUGGAUUCGGAUACAGACGCUGACACAUACACACAUUUUUUCCCGAGGUGUCAGUGCUAUAUAACUAUAAUCCAACUACAAAUUUUCAACUUUUUAACUACCAAAUGCUAAUCUCUAACCUCUGGCAAAGAUCAUAGCCAUCAUCUAGCACCUGCAGCCAUAACUCUUCAAGCAUUGUGUAAAUGUUGCUCCUUUGUGGAUGUGAGCUAUCUUCAGAGAAGAAUAUAUGGAUCUUAUCCUUAACUUCUAUCCAGCUUUGACCAGGUACCUUUUGUACACCCAUUUGUUUCAUUAGGUUCCUUAGUGUAGCAACAUCUUCCCAAUUACCAGCAGAAGCAUGUAUGUUAGAAAGCAUCACCAUUGCCGCAGAGUUGGAAGGAUCGAGUUUUAGUAUAUUUUCUGCAGCUCUCUCUGCAAUGUCAACUUUAUUAUUAUGAGUUUUACAAGCAGCAAGUAGAGUUUUCCAAGUAGUAAUGUCAGGGUCAAAUUCUGAUUUCUGAAUAAAAGUCUCUGCUUCAUGGAAGCAUCCGGCACGAGCAAGCAAAUCAACCAUGCAAGAGAAGUGUUCUCUUGUCGGUGGAAUUCUGUAUUCUGUUUCCAUGGAUUUAUAUAAACGCCAGCCUUCCUCCACUAAUCCAAUGUGACUGCACGCGCUGAGAGCCCCGAGAUAUGUGACCUCGUUAGGCCGAACGCCAAGAUUUGUCAUAACUUUAAAGAGAUUAAGAGCUUCAUGUCCAAGUCCAAACUGAGCAUAACCAACAAUUAAACUACUCCAUGAGACAAUAUUUGGGCUCUGCGUUGAAUCAAAAACGUCGCGAGCAUGUUUAAGUGAUCCACAUUUUGCAUACAUGUCAAUCAAUCCAUUGCACACAGAAACAUCAAGCACUAGCCCACUUUUAAUACUAUAGCAAUGCACUUGAUUUCCGACACCUAAAGAUGUCAGCUCAGCACAGGUUCCUAAUAGAGUAGUUAUGGUGAUACUGUCAGGCUUAUUUUCAGAAUAAAGCAUUUGUUUAAAUAAUCUGAAAGUCUCUCCUUCUUGCUUGUGCUGCAAGCAUGCUGAAAGAAUUGCAUUCCAAGAAACUAAGUUGGCAUUUCCGCUUACAUCUCUGAAAACAUUUAAUGCAUCAUAUAGAUUUGAGCACUUUGUGUACAUGGUUAACAAGGAGUUGCAUACCGAUACUUCCUUAUCGAGACCGAUUUUGACAAUGUAAGAAUGAAUGUGCAUACCCUGGUUAGAUGCUGUGGGGCUCCCACAAGCGCAAAGUAAGGAAAUAAAAGUAACGUUAUCUGGGAUCAGUCCUGUUUGCAUCAUCCGAUGGAAAAAAUCUAUGGCUUCAUUAGCAUCACCAUUGUCAGCAAAUGCUGCAAUAAUUGCAUUCCAUGACACUAUAUCAGGGCUUUUAAUCUGAUAGAAUGCCGUCUUUGCCGAAGGUAAAAAUCCGAAUUUUGCAUACAUGUCACAAAGGGAGCAUCCAGCGAAAACGUUCCUCCCUAAACCGAAUUUAGCGCACAUUCCAUGUACUUGCUUUCCAUACUCUAGUUCAAGAAGGUUGCUGCAAGCACUGAAAACACUGCCAAAUAUGAACUCAUUUGGCUGAUAAACUCCCUGCCUGAGCAUAUCUCGGAAAAUAUAUAAAGCUUCUAUCCUAUAACCUUGUUGAGUAUAUCCCGUAAUCAUGGAACCCCAAGAAAUUAAAUCCUUUGUAGAAAUCGUUGUAAAUACAUUUGACGCAUGUGUGAUUUGUCCGAAAUUUGUGUACAUUGAAAUAAGAGCAUUUAGGGAGAUCAAGUGAUGACCAAACCAUGAUUUAAUGACAUGAGCAUGCAGUUGCCUACCUAAACCUAUAUCCCCGGCAAUGUAGCAAGCCUUAAUUAUGCUUCCAAAGGUUAACUGGUCCGGAAAUUGACCCGAUUGCAUCAUUUGAAUAUACAUGAUGAUGGCAUCGUUCUCUUGACUGUUCUGUGAGUAUCCGGAGAUCAGUGAAGUCCAAGAGACCACAUUUCGUAGCUGCAUUGUGUCAAAAACUUUUCUAGCAUCAUUCAUAGAACCACAUUUUCCAUACAUGUUAAUAAUAUGAUUUUGGAGAAUCAUGCUUGGUUGGCAGCUGGAUUUUGAAAUGUGAUCAUGGAUUUUCUUUGCAUAUUCAAGUGAUCUAGAGUUGGCGCAAGCCAAAACUAAACUCGUAUACGUGCUUGGUUCAAAAUGGAUAUUCGGAUUCUUUAGAUGAAAAUCAAACACUUCCAGCGCUUCUUUGUAAUGCUGUUGCUUACACAACAAUAUUAUGUAACUAUUAGUCGGUAGCUCUGUACUUAGAUUAGAGACAGUUGCUGGUUGCAGAACAGGUCUUACAUGAUUAUGCAUACAUCGAAUGAAGCUUCGAAUUGUCAUAGACAUGGAUGGGGUUUUUGAAAACUAGAAAAAGUAAAACUACUGUUAUUUGACGACAACGGAAGAAACCUUAAAGGGCAAGAUGGUUUCAGGACAGUGAAGUGGUUACAAAUGAGGGUUUCUGAUUCUGACUAAGGAUAUAACAAAAAACAGUAGUAGGAUGAUCAGAAAGUGAGUGUUUCCAAUGUAAAUAUAUGAAAUAUUAACAUGAACCAUGUAACUAAAUAUGCUAUAUUAUGCUAAAGCCACUUCCUAUAUGUUACUAUCUCGCUGUGGCAAUUUGUCAAACAGCUACUAUGCAACAAAAUUGCAUUCUAAAAUGUGUACAACAAUGAGUUAGAAAAACUGUAUAAGUGCAUAAUGAUCAUCUUUAAAAUAGUUUAACAACUCAAAAUUGGAGGAAAUUUAUGGAUUCCAAAACCACAAAAAAGUUAUGAUAACUGAAAAUAACGCACCUGAAGUCUCUGGUUAGUGCUCAACCAGAGAGAAUACUAAUGUCACGUGCUUAUUGUUAUUGUUAUUACAAAACUACCCACUAUAUUUUCUUUAUUUAUAAAAUUUAUGUUUUUAAGAUAAAAAACAUAAAAUUUUAAAUAAUUCAUUUUUUCAAAUAAAUAUCCAAAAUAACUCAUUUUUUCAUCUAUUUUUCAAAAUAACCAACUUUUAAACAAAAAAAAAUUUCAAAACAAAGGAGGCGUCAAUCCAAUUGACGUCUGUGUACAUCACAUAAGAGGAGAAGACAAUCCAAUUGACGACAUUGUACAAACACGUAGGAGGGAGAAUAUACUUUCUCUCCUAUACGUUUGUACAUUAUCGCCAAUUGGAUUGACCUCUCCUCGACCUCUCCUCCUCUUCUGUGUUGUACACGGACGCCAAUUAUAUUGACGUCUCAUUUAUUUUGAGAUUUUUUUUUAUUUGAAUGUGGAUUACUUUAAAAAAUAAUUAAAAAAGUGAAUUAUUUAAUAUUUAUUUGAAAAAAAUUAAUUAUUAAAAAAGAAGACAUCCCUUGUCAUUUAGUCAUUGAGUUAAGUGAAUAAUAUAAAAAAGAAAUUUUAACUUUAAUUAUUUGUUAAAAUAAAUUAUUUUUAAUUAAUAUUUUAUUUUCUCUCUAUGACAACCACACAUUUAAAAAAUAUGAAGCAGGUGUAAAAUUGGUGGGACAAUACUUCAAAUCAAAUUAAUAUGCAACGACUUUGUUCAAGCCCACAUUAUUAUCUUACUUCUAUUUGCAAUAAUUCUAUACUCCAAAUAUUCAUUAUGCUCAUAAUUAUCCUGCCAAAAAAAUUCCACAGUCAAACUUUAAUUAAAUUUUUUUAUGCACAUUCCUCUAAAUUGAUCCAAAAAAGUACCAAUUCAGCCUAAAUUAUAAACUAAACAAAUCCUAAUCACUAAUCAGCAAUAAUCACUAAUAAUAGUUAAAGAGACAGCUGCUACAAAAAAAAAAAAUAGAUUGGUACCAUCUCAACAGCUAUUUGGUAUAAGAUAGCAACUCAUCCUCUCACUCUCACAUAAAAAAUUAUUUUUCAUAUUCUUUAUAUAUAUUACUUUUGCUUCAAGUCACAACCAAGUGAAGCAAUUCCAAACAAAAACUAGUAAUUUAGUUUGAAAGUAUCAAUCAUAACCUCAUAAAAUUUCAAACGUUUUCUUUAACACCAAUACUUUAUACUUUAUGUUCCAUUUUAAAUAACCUUCUCUUCACUUCAUUCUCUUCCAACCUGAAAAUUUUCUGGUCAAUUUUUUCAUAACAUGGGUUCACUAGAAAGGUCAAAGAAAAAAACCCAUUUAUGGAAAAAAGCCAUGCUUCAUUUUUCUCUAUGUUUUGUUAUGGGUUUUUUCACCGGUUUAGCUCCAUCAGGUAAAUCUCUAAUAUUUUCUAGCAAAAUUGAAGUUGCAUUUGCAGUUUCAAACGUAACAGAGUUUGUAACAGCAGCACCUCAACCUUCUCAAACUUCAACGAAAAAUAGUAACAAAAGUUGGAUAGCUUCAGCACCGAAAAUCCAUAGCCAAAAAACAAAGUUGCAUGCAAAACCACUACCUCAGUUAAAGCCGAAAAGACUUGUUAUCAUAGUAACUCCAACUAGCACAAAACUACCUUAUCAAAAUGUUUUUCUGAGAAGGUUAGCGAAUACUAUAAAGCUGGUUGAUCAACCGGUGCUUUGGAUUGUCGUCGAGGCGAAAACCGAUUCGCCGGAGUUGUCGGAGAUUUUAAGGAAAACUGGUAUCAUGUACAGACAUGUUGUUUUCAGUGAAGAGUUUGAGGAUUUAGAAGGUGAAUUGAAUCAUCAGAGAAAUUUAGCACUUAGUCACAUUGAACAUCAUAGAUUGAGUGGGAUUGUUCAUUUUGCUGGACUUUCAAAUGUUUAUGAUCUUCAAUUCUUUCAACAGCUUAGAGAUAUUGAGUAUGUUUUCUAACCCUUCUAUUUGCUUAACUAAUUAUUAAUUAUAUUAUUAUUAUUUUGUUGUCUUAUAGUGAUUUGUUCUAAUUUAAAUGUAGCUAGUGGGGGGAAGUUUUAAAAAUAAGCAAAUUUUUUUCAAUUAGAUGGAGAAAAGUUAGUGAGAAAAUCUUUAGGUAUACCAAAAGAUGAUGAUGAUAACUUUAGUGAAUCUUCAACUUAGAUAAAAAAUCAUAUACAAAGAAGACUAUUUAAUUAAAUAUGUAUAAAAUUAUUUUUUAAAAUUAAUAUUAAUAGUAUUUUUUGUAUUAGUAUUAAUAUUAUUACAUAAGAUUUUGUUAUUAGAAUUUAUUUAUAAAUUUGUUGAUAUUUUCAGUAACUUAUGUUUAUUAAUUAACAUUAAUAUAACAUUUUAAAACUUCAUAUUAAAUAUUAAAAUAUAAUUUAAUAUCACUUACUUAUGAGUUUGUUAAUAAAUUUUAAAUAUGACUUUAGAAAAUAUAAAAUUUAUUGAACUUUAAAUUAAAUUAUAAUAAAUUACUUGUCAAAUUUUAAAAGCUUUUAUCUGAUAAGACUUAAUUCAGUAAAAAUUUACAUGUUAAUAAAAUCAAAACUAUCAUUGAAGUAAAUUUUUUUAAUGAUCUACAAAUUAUGAUAUUUUACAAUUACUAGUUGAUUUUUAAAUUUUUUAAAAAACUUAUAUGCUUAAUUUUCUUUAAUAUUUUUACAAAAUAAUGUGUUUCAAUAUUUUAAUUGUGAUUAAUGUGACAAUUGAGCAGGGUCUUUGGGACAUGGCCAACAGCAUUAUUACUUGCAAAUAGAAAAAGAGUCAUACUUGAAGGACCUGUAUGUGACUCAUCUCAAGUUAUUGGAUGGCAUUUAAGAAAUAUGAACAAUGAAACAAUAACUCCUCCCAUUCAUAUUUCAAGUUUUGCAUUCAAUAGCUCCAUUCUUUGGGACCCUGAAAGAUGGGGUAGAACUUCAUCUGUUAAACACACUUCUCAGGUAAUUAAUCACUUCAUAAUCAUGUUUAAUCUCAUUCUAAAAUAGGUAAUUAAUUAAGUUAGUUUAUAUCACUCCUUCACUUUUUACAAUUUUACUUGCGUCUACUUAACAUUUACCCAACUACUUUAAAAAGAAAACUCAAACGCAAGAAAAAUUAUGCAUUAAGUAAUGUAUAAUGACAACAUGAUUAAUUAGUUGAACUAAUUGAAUAGAACAAUACUACUAAUUAUGUAGUGUUUUCUACUCCAUGUAGUAAUGUUUUCUACCAAACAAUUUUGUUGCUAUUUUGUUUUUUUUGUCAUAAUAAUGAUGCUACUUUUUGUGUGGUUAUCUUAGAAUUCAAUCAAGUUUGUGAAGCAAGUAGUUCUAGAAGAUGAAACAAAGUUGAAGGGAAUUCCACCAUAUUGCUCCAAAAUAUUGUUAUGGCGUUUCAACUUCUAUGCUCGUGCCAUGUCCAAGCAUUAAUUUGUAGGAUAUUAGAGAGAAUAAGGAAUUUGAAGCAAUUCACAAAUUGCUUUUCUACUACAAAAUAUAUGAAAUUUAUUCAUUUUUUUUACCUUUUGUAAUUGUAUUUCGUAUAUAGUUUUUUUCUUCGUUCAUAAUUUUUGUUAGUUUAUGUAAGAGAGGCAAAACAUUUAAAGCAUAUUUUAUAUUUUUAUUUUUUUGAUAUAAAGGCACUAGAGUUUCUAGCAUAUUACUUAAUGCACCAUAAACAUUAUUUACUCUUGUAAAAAAUUAAAAUUAUCCUUAGAAUUUAGAGGUGCAUCCCGGAUGCAUACUAUUUACAUAAAUUAUUUUGUUUUUGAGUCACACAUUAAUUAUAAUUAAAUUUUAUCUAGAAAUGCAUAUAUGUAUUUUAUAUAGAUGUAUUUCUGAAUCCUAAUGAAUCAAGAACAAUUGCAUAAAUGAAACAGAUACACAGUCAGAGAUAAAUUAACAUCAAUAAUUGUUAUGACAUACAUAAAAAUCGAAACAUUAUAUUGAUAAUUGUUAUGACAUGCAUAAAAAAAUGAACUAUACAUUUCAUCAUCAAGUAUGACGUUGCAAUAUCUUCAAAAUAUCUUCGGUGGAUCUCGUAAUUUUCACAUCCAACUCGAUUGAACCUUUCGUUUUGUAAGGGUGAAAUGUACUCCACAUAACCCUUAAAUCAUCAUCUGUCUUCAGCUCAAACUUACUGAACUGAAUGUUUCCUUCGUUAUCAAUCGAGGGUGAACGACACUUGAGUUUGAUAACUUUUUGAUUGUCUAAGUAUUCUAGAAGAUUCUCAAAAUAUGCAUUUCAGAUCUGCAAGAGAGGUGUACUCAGUGACCUUAAAUUCAAGUGAGACAUUCACGACGUUGAAGUAGACAAAUGCGACAUGCCAAUAUAUGUUAAUUCUGGUGUAAUGUGACUUUGUUAAAAAUUUGAGAUGAGAGAUCCAUUUUAUACAAGUUUUAGGUCAAUAUGGAACUUAGAAAUUCAAUCAUGUCCCAAGGGAAAUUCCGUAGAUGUACUUCUUAAAACACCCUACUUUGUUGUGUGAAAUUUAUGAAAAUAUGGUGCAUCAGAAAAUACAUUUUUGAAUAAAUUCAUGUUCGUAUUUUUUUAAAAUAUUUGGGAUGAAUCCAGAAAUGCAUUUUCGGAUGCACCAGAGACUGUUUGCUUAACCAAUUUCAGAAACAGAACCUGUUUUCCAAUAGAAAAUGGAGAAAUAUUUUGAAAAUUGAAACAAAUAUUAAAAUCUAUGAAAACAUAUAUAUUUAACAUCAUUAAUAUUAAUAUAAAAUUACAUACAAUACAUGUCUAACCAAAUAAACACACUGUUGAAUAAAAACUAAAAUGAAUCAAAACAUGUGUCACCGUCUAAAUCUAUAUGUAUGAGAAUUACACAUUUGACUUUUGUUUAUUUGUUUCUAUUUCAAUCUCGCUCAACUUGGUGAAUUCUUGCAUCCUAUCCAUAAAAGGAUUCAACAAAGUCUCAGUUUUCCAUGUUGAAUGAGUUGUCCACUCCAGGGUGUUAGGGGUACAGGGCAUCCUGAUUUCAAAACUAAAACAAAGUGUCACGUUUUUGAAAGUCAUUCAAUACACAUAAUACGAUCAAUUGGAUUUUGAGGUGGGACAAUGUAUAGUGGAUUUUUUUUUCGAAAACUAUAUCUUGUCAGAUCAAUACACACCUUAUUAUAUGCAUUUGUUAUAAGAUGACUCAUUUUAGUGAAGUACAUCCAUUUUUCUUCUGGCGUAGCUCCCCUAAUGCAAGGAAUAAGAGAUUCAUGAUAUGCACCAAAAUUUUCUUUUUUUCCGUAUAACACGUGUGUGAUUCUUUAUAGUCGUGUGUAUGAUUCUUUAUGCACCAAAAUGUAUGAUCAUCAUCUCCUUUACCGAGCAAAGCAGAAAUAUAUCGAAAACCGCCAUUAUCGUUGCCCUCAAUAUUCAUGAUCCGUUCUGAAGGGAUUUAAAGGAGAUUUUUCAAAAAUUUUGAUCCCCUUAGUGGAACAAUCCCGAUGAAUGGAUCUUAAUUAAAUCACUAAUCACGAAUCAAACACAAAUAAAGGUUUUGAAUUCUCUCUUGAAAUGUGCUUUAACUUUGAUCAUGAACGUGAAAAAUAACACCGUCUCUAUGAAGUCUACGCGAGUACAAAGUCGAACGUGAUGCUAGCAUUUUCUUUUUCUGAGAAUGACUUUGCAAAGGAAAUAAUUUUUCUAUUUAUAGAGAGCUACUAAAACCCUAAUAUGUUCUUAUUUUGGUCUUUGUAAAAAUAAGCUCAAUCUUAUUUAAUUAAAUAAUUUUAAUUAAAUAAAAUAUAUUUUAUAUUUAAUUAAAUUUUUUAAUUAUAUAAAAUAAAAUAUUAAUUAAAUUAAUCAUAUUUAAUUCAAUUAAUUAUCAAUUCUCAUUUAUUUAAUUAAAUUAUAUUUAAUCAAAUAAAUUAUAUAUGUAUUAAUAUAUUAAAUAAUCUAAAUACUCUUAACACAUGAUUAAAUUAAAUUAAAUCUUAUUUAAUUUAAUCAUUCAUUCAAUUAUCAGUACUCUAUGGGUGAUACUUAUUUGAGGACGAACAUGCAUUUUACAGUCAUACUCGUUCAAGGGUCCAUAAAUAUUAUUCCAGUAUAUAUAGGAGAUACAAAUCUCAUAUAAGUCAUCCAUGUCUCUUAACAUGAUUUAUAAAAUAUUCAUCCAUCAUCUUUAUAUCUUUAUAGGAAUUCUUUUAUGGAUAACUUUUGAAUGUAGUGUGUACUCAUUUAUGUAAUACCUAUAGCACUCGGUUGUUUUUCUUUGGUUUAUCAAAACAACCGAUGCUUGUUUUAGUGUUUUGACCAAUAUUUGAGAAUUGAAAUAAGUUCUUUUAAGUAGUCAUAAUUGCUCUCCAAACCAACGCCAGCUAGAGUUUAGUAACAGUUUAACUUGUAUAAACUUGCAUAUUAAACAAUUUAAAUUGAAUCGUUCACAAUUAUUAACCAAUGUCAUAAAGUGGUAUAAGUCCGACCCCUGUUAAUUCAUGGAUAAUCUGCAAACUUUAACAAAACAAAUAAUUUUAAUAUUUACUUAAAACUACCUUAAAGUAUAUUUGGAAAAUAUCUUUUAUCAUAGACCAAAUUAUAAGAGAUAAAUGUAUAUUUACUUUUAAAAUAAUUAUUAUAGGAGUCACUUAUAACUUAGGGUCUAAAUGAUUUAACUCACACAAGCUACAAUUUUAACGGAUUCAAAAGUUGGUCCAAUUGCUUAGUUUAGAAUUCUUUAAAAAAUCUAUAAAACUGAACUAUAAAUUUGAACCAUAUUGUUGUUAAAUAAAUUAAUCAUUCAUUUUUAAAUAACAAAAUUAAAAGAACAACACUGCAAAUAUAUAAAAGGUGAGAUACUAGGUUCGGGAGUCAUUUAAGUGAGAGAAAAAUAUUAGACAUCUCUCACCUCCAUUGUAUUCAAUGAAAUCCUCCUCUAAAUCUAGGGUUAGUGUGUUUUUAAGAGAAUUUUGCUUUAAUAUUUAUUAAUUAUUUAAUUAUUUAUUUAUUUAACAAAAAGAUAUUUGAUUAGAGAAAAGAAAAAUCAAUUACAAAAGAAGACUAAAAAAUGUUUUUGAUUAUUAUACUUGCUAGAAUCUUACAACUCUAACUCUAUGCCUACGUACCAUUACUUUUAAUGAAAGAUCAGAGUCUCGUAGUUCUGGUAGAAAAAUGUUUGUAGUUUUUAUCCCUUAAAAAUUCUUAAGCAUCGGGGACGAAAAAGUAAUUGAUUUUGAAAAAUGCAUCAAUGCACUAUGGCAGAUGACUUAUAGUUUGAGGUGAGUUUAAAUUAAUUUUAUUCCAAUUAUUGAUUAAAAAAAUAUAGUACUUAAUUUAUUUAUGAAAAUAAAUAUUAUAUAUUUAUAAGACAUAUCUCUUAUCCCGAUUGUAUCCCCGAUUUAUCCCUUAUUUUUAUCUCUUUGAAAUCCUAAAAAUCUAUCCCUUAUUUUAUCCCAUGUUCUUAUCCCCUUUGAUUGCAAAAAUAUAAUAUAUUAAAUAACUUAAAUAAGAUGUAAUAUGAUGUAUCCCUUAUUUUUAUCUCUUUGAAAUCCUAAAAGUCUAUCCCUUAUUUUAUCCCAUGUUCUUAUCCCCUUUGAUUGCAAAAAUAUAAUAUAAUUAAAUAACUUAAAUAAGAUGUAUCCCUCAUCCCGAUUUUAUCCCUUAAAACCCUAUAAAUUAUCCCUAAAAUUUCUUGAUUUAAUUAUCCCUAGUUUCUAUAAAUCCCUAAUUAAUAUGACUAUUCUAAAUAAUUGAUGAAGAAUCCAACUUAAAAAUAAAUAUUAAAUUAAUGAAAUCCCCGAUUAUUAGUUUAAUUAAAUCCAAUUAAUUUUAAUAAACCAACCUUAAUAAUUAAAUUCCUAAAACUAUAUAUUCAUUAAAAUAAAUAUAUUUUAAAAAACAGGGGGGGUGUAUUAUGGUACUAAAUAAACAAUUGGGCUUGAAGCUGGGGUGUGGGAAGCAAUGGAAAGAAAGGCCCAAUACUCUCUGAAGUCUAACGCAUGGGGGUCUAUAGAAGGAGAGAGUCAAUCGUUGACUCUCUUUGGUUCCUUUGAUCAAGAUCAUGGGGAUGUUAUUACACUUAAUCAUAGCCUUUGGUUUGAUUGACUGGUCAAAGUAUAUAGAGUGUAUGAUUGAAAUGCAGAGUCAAAAGGGGACUCGGGGUAUACACGCAUACACAACGGGUGAGUUUUUUCCUGCAUUGCCCUCCUAUUGAAUUUUUUUAUCCAAUAUGCCCCAGUCUGAAAAUAAUUUCCCAAUCUACCCCCUUUUUCAAUUAGGGCUCGCCACUUCAAACGACGAGGGGAUGAAGGCCUAAUUUACGCAGUUAGGGCUCGUCACUUCAAGUGACGAGGACAUGAAGAAGGAUUUUUUUUUAAUAUUUUAAAUAUUGUAUUAAAUAAUAAUAAUAAUUAAUAUAAUUAAUUUUUAAUUAUUAAUUCUAUAUUUAAUUAAUAUAAUUGAUUUAAUUAAAAAUAAUAAUAAUUUUUUUAUAAAAAAAUAUUUAAAAUAAAUUGUAAAUAAUUAUAGUUUUUCAUGAUAAUAAAAAAAUUGUGAUANUGUAGAAAUUGAAGAGAGUAAAUAUUUGAAGAGGGUAAGAAUGUGUGAAAUAGAAAUUGUAGGUAGAUGAUGAGUAAGAAGUGUAGAAGUAUUGAUUAUUUAUAGUGGUAAAAUUAUAAUAAAAAAAAUUGGUAAAAGUUUGAAUAGUAGAGGAUUAGACAUUGCAUUGCAUGUCAUGCAUGCAAAAAAAAUUGUAAGGAUUCCCUGUAACAUGAGAUUCCCACGCUGAAGGGAAAACACAAUGCCAAUAGCCUGCACUAUGGCUCGUCACUUUGAUGGACGAGCUGUACCUACUUCUUUGAGGCCUCGUCAAAUGGAAUGGCGAGGUGAUUCAUCCUCUUUGUUGCCUCGUCAAAUGAAGUGACAAGUUCUGUAUGUCUAGGGUUUUGUCUCGUCAAUCCAAGUGAUGAGCUAUCACAUGCCAAUUUCCUCACGCGUUUCCCUACUUCUCCCUCCUCUAUUUAACUUAAAAUCAGCAUGUGAUUUGGAUAUUGUAUUAUAUUCACACCAAAUCAAACUCAUAUUUCCUAUAAAUACUACUAACUUCCUCAUUUACAUUCACCAAAUCAAAUCCUCAUUUAUAUUCACACCAAAUCAAAUCCUCAUUUAUAUUCACACUAAAUCAAAUAUUACACAUCCAUGGCUCAAAGAAAUUUAGUUGUUUCUAUCCAUUCCGAAGGGUCACUUUUCACAUAUUCAAGUGAGGGAUUCUCAUUUUGCAAUACGAAUUUAACUAUGUUCAAAAUCCACAUCAACUCCGACUUUCAUAAUUUAAAAGACCGUAUUGAAAAGAAGUUGCAACGUUAUGUUGAAGACAUCAUUUAUCGUCAACCAUUAUUUAAUGGAGAUGAUAAUACCGUCUUUCACAUAAUGACACCGAUUAAGACCGACGAAGAAAUUUGUUGUUCAAAUCCAAAUUGGAGUUUGACUCGAUCCGUCUGAUGCAUCUCAACGGUAUAGAAACAUAUGAUAUAUGUUGUUGCACUCCAGACUCGGCUGUCAUUAUAAUCAGGCACUGGAUAUUAUAUGUACGGCCUCCAAAUAAACUGUUAAAAGAAAUAUAACUAUUAGAAUGUAUAUUAAAUUUAAAUAAGUUAAAUAUUUUAAUUAAUCAUUCUUACAUCUUUUUCUUCCAUGUGUUCUAUUGCAACACGGUACCCUUGUACAUGAUGUCGAGGAUUAUUUCGAUAAUUCAUACCUCGUUUGCACCAUCUUGCAUAUUAAAAAAAAUAUGUUAAAUUGACGUAUAAUUUUUUUUUGAUAAAUAUAAAUUGCAUUUAAAUGAAAAUCGUUACCUUAAACCUCGUUACUAACCGGGGCUAUCAAGGGUAUGCGUGUGAAUGCCCAUACAGUUAGUAAUACCACACAUCCUCCUAUGCUCUUUACUCCUCUAUGGGCCGCCUUGCACAUAUGUCUAUAUAGUGUAGCCAAACAAGCAGAACCCCAACUGUAUGAAUUACAUUUUUCAAGGUCUCCUACUAAAGGUAACCAAGAAGAAUGCAACAAAUUGUGACUUUUAUCUGGCAUUAAAAAAGUAGCAAUUAAAAGUAAAAUAUAAAUUUUUGCAUGUAAAAUAUUUUCUGCCUCGGACGGGUUAGGGUUAUUUUUUAGUUGCGUUAAUACUGCGUCUAGCCAAACAAUUUUGACAGAAGCCCCAUUUUUAUCCGAGGGCGGUUGGUUCGAUGCCCAAAUUUUCCAUGUAAACGGCACUGGUUACGUUUGUUGGGCCAUUGACAGCUUUUCCAUGGAUUCGGAGACCGAAUAACAUACUCACAUCCUCUAAUGUGAUGGUACAUUCACCUGUUGGUAAAUGAAAUGUAUGUGUCUCCGGUCUCCAUCUCUCUAACAAUGCCACAAUGAGUUUAGAGUCUACUUUUAGACUUGCAAUUUUUGCCACAUUCGCAAAACCUGCUAGCUCCAAGUACGGUAUUAUAACCGCACUUGGUUGAAUAUAUGAAUGCAAAUGAACCCGAAAUUUUCCAUCUUGCUGAAAUUAAAAUAAAUAACAGUAAUGAAUAUUUGGUCUAAUAAAGAACGGAAGUAAAAAACGAUAAUAAAAAACGAUAAUAAAAAACGGUAAAUUUGAAUGAGACUUACGUAUUCGACAAUGUUUGCCGCCGUCCCACGGUGUGAUUCACCCAUCCAUAAGAAAGACAUCUUGAAAGGAAGUGUAGAAAUUGAAGAGAGUAAAUAUUUGAAGAGGGUAAGAAUGUGUGAAAUAGAAAUUGUAGGUAGAUGAUGAGUAAGAAGUGUAGAAGUAUUGAUUAUUUAUAGUGGUAAAAUUAUAAUAAAAAAAAUUGGUAAAAGUUUGAAUAGUAGAGGAUUAGACAUUGCAUUGCAUGUCAUGCAUGCAAAAAAAAUUGUUAAGGAUUCCCUGUAACAUGAGAUUCCCACGCUGAAGGGAAAACACAAUGCCAAUAGCCUGCACCUAUGGCUCGUCACUUUGAUUGACGAGCUGUACCUACUUCUUUGAGGCCUCGUCAAAUGGAAUGGAGAGGUGAUUCGUCCUCUUUGUUGCCUCGUCAAAUGAAGUGACGAGUGCUUUAUGUCUAGGGUUUUGUCUCGUCAAUCCAAGUGACGAGCUAUCACAUGCCAAUUUCCUCACGCGUUUCCCUCUGUCUCUCUCCUCUAUUUAACUUAAAAUUAGCAUGUGAUUUGGAUAUUGUAUUAUAUUCACACCAAAUCAAAUUCAUAUUUCCUAUAAAUACUACUACUUCCUCAUUUACAUUCACCAAAUCAAAUCCUCAUUUAUAUUCACACCAAACCAAAUCCUCAUUUAUAUUCACACCAAAUCAAAUCCUCAUUUAUAUUCAUACUAAAUCAAAUAUUACACAUCCAUAUGGAAUGAGUCAUUUAUCGUCAACCAUUAUUUAAUGGAGAUGAUAAUACCGUCUUUCACAUAAUGACACUGAUUAAGACCGACGAAGAUGUCAGGUCGAUGUUUCAAUGUCAUGUAACAUUAUCUCAAUUACCCAGCAUUGAGAUAUAUGUUCGUCUAGUCGAUAAUCUUGAAGAACAACCGAGUGACAAUGUUGAGGAACAACCGUCUCACAACGAAAAUCACUGUUAUCCAACGCAAUCUGUACAGUCACACGACUAUGGAAUGAGUCAAGCCAUUGACGAAGAGCCGACUCAAAAUAAUGAACCUUUCAUACCAAAUGAAGAGGUGGGCGAGAAUAGUGAGGAUGAUCUUGAGGAGGUUCGAUUUGAAGAUCUAUUCGGUGUUAGCGAUGACGAUGGCAAUGAGGAAAUAUUCGACACACCGGCCGUUGCACUAAGAGCGCAACCAAUUAGUUUGUACAACCCACCUGCGCACAUGCAAAACAUAAGUUUGGAUGAUGCCGAACCAAUCUCCGUUUUCGGCAGUUUCAUACCAACUCACAACUUUGACGAAAUAGAGGAGGGCAUAGAGUAUGAAGAUAAGGAAGAGUGUCUUCUGGCGUUGCAACAAUGGCAUAUAAAACGUAGUCUAGAUUUUUCUGUGGUUAAAUCUGACAGUGUAUGUUUUGUCAUCAAAUGUAGAAAUUCAACAUGCAAUUUCAAAUGCAGGGUCUCUUUGCGCAAGGGCAACUCAAGGUGGAGAGUUGGUAAGUCUAGUGGGCCUCAUACGUGCACAACCACUUCCAUGUCACAAGACCAUACAAAACUCAGUUCAGAAAUGAUUAGCAAGAGCAUAAUGGAGCUUGUAAAUCGGGACGCUUCUCUUAAGGUGAAGGUUAUCAUUGCUCAUGUUGUUGAGAAAUACCGGUAUAUCAUAUCAUACAAAAAGGCAUGGAUUGCAAAGUGUAAGGCGGUUGAGUCGCUCUAUAGAAAUUGGGAGACAUCUUACAACGAUCUUCUACAGUGGAUACUGGUAAUGAAAACAUAUCUACCAGGUACCAUUAUAGAAUUACAAACCCUACCUGUGAUUUCAAAUGAUGGUUCAUACUUGGGUGACCAAAGGAUAUUUCAUCGUCUGUUUUGGGCGUUUAGACCAUGUAUACGUGGCUUCGCGUAUUGUAAACCAAUUGUGCAGGUUGAUGGAACUUGGUUGUAUGGCAAGUACAGAGGGGCUCUGCUGAUGGAUGUGGCACAGGAUGGGAAGGGGAACAUAUUUCCGAUAGCGUUCGCAUUGGUUGAAAGUGAGACAAAGGAAGCCUGGAGUUUCUUUCUUAAGAAUUUGAGAAUGCAUGUUACCCCCCAAGCAAAUCUAUGCCUAAUAUCAAACAGGCAUGAAUCAAUAAAGAAUGCAUACAACAACCCGGAAAAUGGAUGGCAGUUUCCUCCUUCAUCACACGUCUAUUGCAUUAGACAUAUCGCGCAAAACUUCAUGCGGGAGAUUAAAGAUAAGGAUCUGCGGAAAAUAGUUGUUAACAUGGGUUAUGCGUUAACAGAGGCAACGUUUAACUACUAUCGGGGGGAAAUCCGAAGAACAAACAACGACGCUUUAUCAUAGAUAGACAACAUCCCUCGCGAGAAGUGGGCAAGGGCAUUUGACGGAGGGCAACGCUGGGGUCACAUGACAACUAACCUAGCAGAAGCAACGAACGCGGUGUUGAAAGAAACCCGGAACCUUUCAAUCACUGCAUUGGUCAAAUCUACGUACUAUCGUUUAGGAUCACUAUUUGGUAGAAGAGGCCAUCAGUGGACAAAAAUGUUAGCCUCUGGGCAGGUUUUCACUGAUAACUGCAACAAGGGGAUGGCUGAGGAAGUCAUCAAAGCUAACACGCAUAACGUCAUGCAGUUCGACCGAGAGAGAUUUUAUUUCAUGGUCCAAGAGAAGAUUAAUCAUAACGACGGUCGACCAACCGGAACGUUCAGCGUUGAUCUGAGGAAACAACACUGUGACUGUGGGAAAUUUCAGGCAUUUCACUUACCUUGCUCCCAUGUAAUCGCAGCAUGUUCGAGCAUACGCCAGGACUAUUCCAUUCACAUUCCAGACGUCUUCAAAAUUCGUAACGUCUUCAAGGUCUAUCAGGAGAGUUUCCUAGGACUUCCCCAUGAGGAGAAUUGGCCACAAUAUGAAGGAUAUACUCUUUGCCACGACGACUCUAUGAGAAGGAGGAAGAAAGGGCGCCCAAACAGCACCAGGAUUAGAACCGAGAUGGACGACGUUGAGAAGGAGAAGAGAAGGUGUGGAAUUUGUCGCGAAAUAGGACACAUGCGUAGGAAAUGUCCUAAUGUUGCAGGAUCAUCCCAACGACCUUCCAGAUGAUUAUCUUGUUGUUUUAAAUAUUCGUUCAGAUGACUAUGUUUAUUUAUUUAUUUAUUAACUACUAUGCACAUAAUAUAUAUAAACCAUUUUGUAUUUCUAAUGUCUUUUGGGAACAAACAUUUAUGAAAUACAUUUGAUAAUCAAAGGCUUCUGGUUACAAAGUACGACCACAUCAACUAAACAACAACAACAACCAACACAAGUGGUAAUUAAAAAACUAAUCAACAACAACAACCAACACAAGUGGACCUUCAACUCCUCUAUUAACUUCACCACUAUGUGCCGAAAACAUACAUUGGACAUCUUCAUCAUUUUCUAUACGAUCCAGGUAAUACAUGUACGUACCAUCGGGGCUUGCAUCAGUCAACGUUAUGUAUGGACAACGAUACUCUACUUUCCUCACCUUCAUACGACGCCCGCCCAACUGUCGGAAGCCAGUGUGGAUGGCAGAAAUCAGUGUUCUGAAAUUCCAUUGCGGAUCAAGGCAAACACUCAUUUUUUCACCGUGUCCAUAAAAUACAAGACCACAAACAGACAUUAUGAACUAAAGAAAGGAUUUGGUGGUGUGAGUUUCAUUUCUACCAGUUNNNNNNNNNNNNNNNNNNNNNNNNNNNNNNNNNNNNNNNNNNNNNNNNNNNNNNNNNNNNNNNNNNNNNNNNNNNNNNNNNNNNNNNNNNNNNNNNNNNNNNNNNNNNNNNNNNNNNNNNNNNNNNNNNNNNNNNNNNNNNNNNNNNNNNNNNNNNNNNNNNNNNNNNNNNNNNNNNNNNNNNNNNNNNNNNNNNNNNNNNNNNNNNNNNNNNNNNNNNNNCAACAACAACCAACACAAGUGGACCUUCAACUCCUCUAUUAACUUCACCACUAUGUGCCGAAAACAUACACUGGACAUCUUCAUCAUUUUCUAUACGAUCCAGGUAAUACAUGUACAUACCAUCGGGGCUUGCAUCAGUCAACGUUAUGUAUGGACAACGAUACUCUACUUUCCUCACCUUCAUACGACGCUCGCCCAACUGUCGGAAGCCAGUGUGGAUGGCAGAAAUCAGUGUUCGGAAAUUCCAUUGCGGAUCAAGGCAAACACUCAUUUUCUCACCGUGUCCAUAAAAUACAAGACCACAAACAGACAUUCUGAACUAAAGAAAGGAUUUGGUGGUCUGAGUUACAUUUCUACAAGUUCUGCUAUUUAUACAAAAAUUAAUAGUUGAAUACUCAGCCAAUCAUUGGCCGAGACAGUACAAACACAAAAACUUUUUGGCGGGAAAGAUAUCAUUCCCAAAAAAUGAUUGACAUUUUGGAGGGAAACAUAACAAUUUUAUUAUUAAUAUAUAAGACAUAAAUUAUUUCUAUUAUUAAUAUUCUAAAAAUUAAUCAUUUUUAUUAUUAGUAUUUCAAAAAUAAUAAUAUCACAAUUUUUUUAUUAUCAUGAAAAACUAUAAUUAUUUACAAUUUAUUUUAAAUAUUUUUUUAUAAAAAAAUUAUUAUUAUUUUUAAUUAAAUCAAUUAUAUUAAUUAUUUUUUUAUUAUCAUGAAAAACUAUAAUUAUUUACAAUUUAUUUUAAAUAUUUUUUUAUAAAAAAAUUAUUAUUAUUUUUAAUUAAAUCAAUUAUAUUAAUUAAAUAUAAAAUUAAUAAUUAAAAAUUAAUUAUAUUAAUUAUUAUUAUUAUUUAAUACAGUAUUUAAAAUAUUAAAAAAUAAAAAAAUCCUUCUUCAUGUCCUCGUCACUUGAAGUGACGAGCCCUAACUGCGUAAAUUGGGCCUUCAUCCCCUCGUCAUUUGAAGUGGCGAGCCCUAACUGAAAAAGGGAUAGAUUGAGAAAUUAUUUUCAGACUGGGGCAUAUUGGGUAAAAAAUUUCAAAUAGAGGGCAUAUGCAGCAAAAACUCACAACGGGUAUGUUGAGUCAACUGGUUGAUUGGUUGAGAGAGGUCACGCAAGCAUGAUGUGGCACUUGGCUGGAUGAGGGUAUAAAAGUUAUCUCCCUUUAGAAAUCUUCAUUUCCACUUCUCUCAUUCUCCCUCUCUUCAUUGCUCUCCCUCUCUCUUCUCUCCCCUCUUUCUACUUCGGCAACCCUCUUCCCCACCGUAUAUCCCCAGAAACCACCCACAAACCACCACAUUCAACUGAGAUCUUUAUGUUCAUCAUGAACAUGAAAAACACCCAACUCAGAAACCGACCCCUCACCAUCCUUUCCCCCAGAACCACCGAAUCUCCGGAUCUCGGGUUGAAGCUCAACCAGGAUCUUCAAUCAAUGUUCAUCUGGGUGAUGAACAUCAACCCAGAACCAAGAACCCUAACCCUAACAUUCAACCAAAACCCAGAAUCACAAGAACCAUAACCCUAACUGAAGAACCCUAACCUUCAAAAUCAAAACCCAAAUUCUCCUAACCUUUAUCAUGUUCAUCAUGAACAUGAUGAAUCUUCAUCCCUGAUCUCUGAACCAUAACCCAAAUUUCCAGAAAUCCCCACAAUUCACCCAAUCAUAACAAAAACAACCUUAAAUCAAAGGUCGUAACCUCUUUAUCAAUAAUUAACCGCCAAAAUAAAUAACAAAACAUCCUAAAACCAUGAAUCAAUCCAUCUGAACCCUAAUCCCCAAAUCAACCCCAAUCAUCAUACAUCAACAACAACAUCAAAGAGUCAACAAAAGUAAGCAAAUAAGUGAAGUUCUACCAACCUACAGAAUCGAGGAAUAUUCCAGUUCGAAAGGUAAUUACCUAGAGUCCUUUCUUAAUUACUUCUUUUAUUAUGCUCCUCUUCUAAUCCCUUUCUUAUUGUUAUGCGAGGUUUGAUGGUUGGCUAAGCUCAAAUAACUUAGGGUUUCAGUGUGAAGCCCUAAACAUCAAAUUUUGUUGAGCAUAUGGUGAGACUUUUAGGAUCAAUGUUGCGACUGCAAGUUCCAAGUCCUUAGGGUUUUCUUCGUCCCUGAUUGAAUUUUAGGUUUAUGUUUAUAUAAAUUAUUUUUUAGGGUUUUAGAUUUCAAUUCUGAUUGUAUGGUUUUAUAAGAUUAGGACCUGAUUGAUUAUGUAUUUGAUUUAGAUUGAUUUUGUGUUAUAAAUAGAAAUUAGGUUUGAAUUGUAACAGACAUUGACAAUUUAUGUAGUCCAAUUUUGAUUGAUAUUCACGAUUUGAAUGUAUAUGAAAUAAAAACAGAAAUUUUGGAUUGGUUUUAAAAU
RNAcentral lists this long non-coding RNA (42710 nucleotides) under Lathyrus oleraceus (garden pea). RNAcentral's name for it is "Pisum sativum (pea) long non-coding RNA (PSAT_LNC009108)". The record is from RNAcentral. Lineage: Eukaryota; Viridiplantae; Streptophyta; Magnoliopsida; Fabales; Fabaceae.